AGAGUUUGAUCCUGGCUCAGAUUGAACGCUGGCGGCGUGCCUAACACAUGCAAGUCGAGCGGUAACAGGUGUAGCAAUACAUGCUGACGAGCGGCGAACGGGUGAGUAAUGCUUUGGAAUCUUCCCAGUAGUGGGGAAUAACCAGUCGAAAGAUUGGCUAAUACCGCAUACGUCUGUAAAGGGAAAGCGGGGGCUCGUAAGACCUCGCGCUAUUGGAUGAGCCAAAGUCGGAUUAGCUAGUUGGUGGGGUAAUGGCCUACCAAGGCGACAAUCCGUAGCUGGUCUGAGAGGACGACCAGCCACACCGGAACUGAGACACGGUCCGGACUCCUACGGGAGGCAGCAGUGGGGAAUAUUGGACAAUGGGGGAAACCCUGAUCCAGCGACGCCGCGUGUGUGAAGAAGGCCUGCGGGUUGUAAAGCACUUUUAGUGGGGACAAAAAGCUACGGAUUAAUACUCUGUGGUCUUGAUUUAACCCAAAGAAAAAGCACCGGCUAACUCUGUGCCAGCAGCCGCGGUAAUACAGAGGGUGCGAGCGUUAAUCGGAAUUACUGGGCGUAAAGCGCGCGUAGACGGUUUUGUAAGUCAGAUGUGAAAUCCCUGGGCUCAACCUGGGAACUGCAUUUGAGACUGCAUGGCUAGAGUAUCGAAGAGGGAAGUGGAAUUUCCGGUGUAGCGGUGAAAUGCGUAGAUAUCGGAAGGAACACCAGUGGCGAAAGCGACUUCCUGGUCGAAUACUGACGUUCAUGUGCGAGAGCGUGGGGAGCAAACAGGAUUAGAUACCCUAGUAGUCC
Molecule: ribosomal RNA, 795 nt
Filed under: uncultured bacterium
Lineage: Bacteria
Description: bacterial SSU rRNA
Rfam family: Bacterial small subunit ribosomal RNA
Source: RNAcentral